CAGUCGCCGCGGUAAUACGAAGGGGGCUAGCGUUGCUCGGAAUGACUGGGUGUAAAGGGCGCGUAGGCGGUUUUGACAGUCAGAUGUGAAAUUCCUGGGCUUAACCUGGGGGCUGCAUUUGAGACGUCAAGACUAGAGUGUGAGAGAGGGUUGUGGAAUUCCCAGUGUAGAGGUGAAAUUCGUAGAUAUUGGGAAGAACACCGGUGGCGAAGGCGGCAACCUGGCUCAUUACUGACGCUGAGGCGCGAAAGCGUGGGGAGCAAACAGGAUUAGAUACCCCCGUAGUCCCUGUCUCUAUACA
RNAcentral lists this ribosomal RNA (301 nucleotides) under uncultured bacterium. RNAcentral's name for it is "partial 16S ribosomal RNA". It matches the Rfam family "Bacterial small subunit ribosomal RNA", at positions 509 to 808 of the family's 1533-position model. The record is from RNAcentral.